Molecule: ribosomal RNA, 554 nt
Filed under: Pseudanabaena sp. CCY9709
Lineage: Bacteria; Bacillati; Cyanobacteriota; Cyanophyceae; Pseudanabaenales; Pseudanabaenaceae
Description: bacterial LSU rRNA
Rfam family: Bacterial large subunit ribosomal RNA
Source: RNAcentral
GGUUGAGUAUACUAAGGGGCGCGAGAUAACUCUCUCUAAGGAACUCGGCAAAAUGGCCCCGUAACUUCGGGAGAAGGGGUGCCAGCGCGAGCUGGCCGCAGUGAAAUGAUCCAAGCGACUGUUUACCAAAAACACAGGUCUCUGCAAAGUCGAAAGACGACGUAUAGGGGCUGACGCCUGCCCAGUGCCGGAAGGUUAAGGAAGUUGGUCAGCGAAAGUGAAGCUAACGACUGAAGCCCCGGUGAACGGCGGCCGUAACUAUAACGGUCCUAAGGUAGCGAAAUUCCUUGUCGGGUAAGUUCCGACCCGCACGAAAGGCGUAACGAUUUGGAUGCUGUCUCGGAGAGAGACUCGGCGAAAUAGGAUUGUCUGUGAAGAUACGGACUACUUGCACCCGGACAGAAAGACCCUAUGAAGCUUUACUAUAACUUGGCAUUGGGUUCGGGCUUCUCUUGCGCAGGAUAGGUGGGAGACUAUGAUGAUGUCCUUGUGGGGACAUUGGAGUCAACGGUGAGAUACCACUCUGGAGAGGCUAGAAUUCUAACCUUGACCCG